Molecule: long non-coding RNA, 1583 nt
Filed under: Pogona vitticeps (central bearded dragon)
Lineage: Eukaryota; Metazoa; Chordata; Lepidosauria; Squamata; Agamidae
Description: lncRNA (ENSPVIG00000007944.1)
Source: RNAcentral
AAAAAUUAGGGGUUCAUGAGGACCUUCCUCUUACCAAAGGUCCGGGAUCUGUCCCAGCUGAGAGGGCAGGAGUCAGUCUCUCACCCCCCAGCAGGAAGGUUUGGGUUUUCUGCAAUCUGGCCACAGAAGCCCUUCAAGCACUAGCCAAUGGGCCGGGACAGGCUUUUCUCUCCAAGCAGCUCAUUUGGUCACAGAGGCCAUGGGGUGGAGUUUGGGGGAAUUAAACCUUUUUGACGACCCCGUGAGACUGGCACCUCGUGGGAUACCUCCUGCUGCUGCUGCUCCCACAGCUCGAGCUCCAUCCGUGUCGAUAUUGAUUGGGAUAUUGGCCAGUUUACCCACAGAGGAGACAAGAGCAGAUCCUGUAUAUCGUUUCAUCCCGGCUUGAAACAUUUAGUGCAACAUACCUGGUUUUGGAGGUCACGAUGCUUCAUUUCACUGUUUCAUUUUCAAAUAAUGUUAAUGCCCAACCAUGGCGUUAUUUGUUGCCUGUGUACUAGAGAUGGGCACGAACCGCUGUUUUGGCGGUUGCUGCUGGUUCGUUUAUUGGCCGAAGAGGUGCUUGGCACUCCUUAGCCCCACCCACUUCUCCAGCGGGUGCCCACUUAAAGAGGCAGCAGGCCCUGGCUUCCCUGCCCUGCCUCCUCCAGACAUUGGCUGUGAGCGGGCGCCCACGGGAGGAGGAGGAGGAGGGGCAGGGCUAGGAAGCGCCAAACACCACAUGGCAGUUUGUGCCCACCUCUAAUGUGUGCUAACAAGGCAAUGUUCACGUUACAGGGCCCAUCCUUCUGGACCCCGUGGUUGGGGCUUCGUGUGUCUCCCCCAGGAGGCACUGCAGUCACGGACCGCCACCACAGCAGGGAAAGACUACAAGUCAAGGGGGAAAGAUGUCCCCACAAGCGGAGUAUUGUAUUUAAUCUUCAUCACCUUCAACAAAUCAGUAGUGCAACAGUGUAAACAGAGCCCAAGAAAACUUGAAAACUUAUUUUCUCAUCUCAAGCAAGACUAAGAGUGAUUUAAAACAAAAGGAGAGAAAACCCGUGACAGUCGGAAAAGAGUCCACCACCCCCAAACCUGCAAUCCCAGUGUUGUCUCUUGCACAAGGGACGACAACGGCCAGCCACCUCCUCGCUUUCGGGAGGAGGAAUCGGGUGGAGUCUGAAAGCGACGACGACGGAGCAGAACCCAGAGGGCUCUCCCCCCGUCGCCGAGCGAGGGCUUUCGAAAGAACAGCGUCUGGCAAGGCCCAGGUUGCCACUCUUGAGAAGAAACCCACUACGGCCCACAACAGGAGGCACGGGGAGGAGACGGCACAUGGGCCUCCGUGGCACAUGGGCCUCCGAAUGGAUUGCAGGGUGUUUGCUUUGCAGUCCCGCGACUUGCAAGGCACGGUAGUCCUUUCCACAGGGGUAGAUUUCACUCCCGGAGCAUUCAAGAACCAGCGUCUACCCUUCACAGUCUUGGUUUCACAGCUUGCUUCUUCUUCUUUUUUUUUAAAUUUCAAAAUUUCCCUUGAAGUCCAAGUUCAAGUACAGGCAGUUAGACUUGGGGGGAAUUUUUUUGUUUUUAAAGAUCAGUGGUAA